This 891-nucleotide ribosomal RNA is filed under the name uncultured bacterium. RNAcentral describes it as "bacterial SSU rRNA". It matches the Rfam family "Bacterial small subunit ribosomal RNA", at positions 54 to 946 of the family's 1533-position model. The record is from RNAcentral.
CAUGCAAGUCGAACGAUGAAGAAAAGAAUUGAAGCUUCGGCAGAAAUUCAUUUCGGAUUAGUGGCAGACGGGUGAGUAACGCGUGAGCAACCUACCUCUUACAAAGGGAUAGCCUCGGGAAACCGGGAUUAAUACCAUAUAACAUUGCGACGAAGCAUUUCGAUGCAAUCAAAGCUACGGCGGUAAGAGAUGGGCUCGCGUCCCAUUAACCAGAUGGUGAGGUAACGGCUCACCAUAGUAACGAUGGGUAACCGGCCUGAGAGGGUGAACGGUCACACUGGAACUGAGACACGGCCCAGACUCCUACGGGAGGCAGCAGUGGGGAAUAUUGCACAAUGGAGGGAACUCUGAUGCAGCGACGCCGCGUGAGUGAUGAAGGAAUUCGUUUCGUAAAACUCUGUUCUAUGGGAAGAAAAGGACUGUACCAUAGGAGAAAGCUCCGGCUAAAUACGUGCCAGCAGCCGCGGUAAUACGUAUGGAGCGAGCGUUGUCCGGAAUUAUUGGGCGUAAAGGGUGCGCAGGCGGCUUUACAAGUUGGAUGUGAAAUAUUGUGGCUCAACCACAAACGUGCAUCCAAAACUGCAAAGCUUGAGUUAAGGAGAGGUAAGUGGAAUUCCUGGUGUAGCGGUGGAAUGCGUAGAUAUCAGGAGGAAUACCGGUGGCGAAGGCGACUUACUGGACUUAAACUGACGCUCAGGCACGAAAGCGUGGGGAGCAAACAGGAUUAGAUACCCUGGUAGUCCACGCCGUAAACGAUGAGUGCUAGGUGUUGGGGGUCAAACCUCGGUGCCGCAAGCAAACGCAAUAAGCACUCCGCCUGGGGAGUACGUGCACAAGCAUGAAACUCAAAGGAAUUGACGGGGACCCGCACAAGCAGCGGAGCAUGUGGUU